Molecule: ribosomal RNA, 809 nt
Filed under: uncultured bacterium
Lineage: Bacteria
Description: bacterial SSU rRNA
Rfam family: Bacterial small subunit ribosomal RNA
Source: RNAcentral
AGCGGUAACGGGGUAAUUUAUUACCUGCUGACGAGCGGCGGACGGCUGAGUAACGCGUGGGAACAUGCCCCAAAGUGAGGAAUAAGCUCAAGAAAUUGAGUCUAAUGCCGCAUAUGAUCUUAGGAUUAAAGGAUUUAUCCGCUUUGGGAGUGGCCCGCGUUCGAUUAGGUAGUUGGUGAGGUAAAGGCUCACCAAGCCCACGAUCGAUAACUGGUCUGAGAGGAUGAUCAGUCAGACUGGAACUGAGAUACGGUCCAGACUCCUACGGGAGGCAGCAGUGAGGAAUCUUCCACAAUGGGCGAAAGCCUGAUGGAGCGACGCCGCGUGCAGGAUGAAGGCCUUCGGGUUGUAAACUGCUUUUAUAAGUGAAGAAUAUGACGGUAACUUAUGAAUAAGCACCGGCUAACUACGUGCCAGCAGCCGCGGUCAUACGUAGGGUGCAAGCAUUAUCCGGAGUGACUGGGCGUAAAGAGUUGCGUAGGUGGUUUAUUAAGUGAAUGGUGAAAUCUGGCGGCUCAACCGUACAGACUAUUAUUCAAACUGAUAAACUCGAGAAUGGUAGAGGUAAUUGGAAUUUCUUGUGUAGGAGUGAAAUCCGUAGAUAUAAGAAGGAACACCAAUGGCGUAGGCAGAUUACUGGACCAUUUCUGACACUGAGGCACGAAAGCGUGGGGAGCGAACCGGAUUAGAUACCCGGGUAGUCCACGCCGUANACUAUGGAUACUAGCUGUUGGAGGUANCGACCCCUUCAGUAGCGAAGCUAACGCGUUAAGUAUCCCGCCUGUGGAGUACGGUCGCAAGACUAAAAC